This 253-nucleotide ribosomal RNA is filed under the name uncultured bacterium. RNAcentral's name for it is "partial 16S ribosomal RNA". It matches the Rfam family "Bacterial small subunit ribosomal RNA", at positions 524 to 776 of the family's 1533-position model. The record is from RNAcentral.
UACGAAGGGGGCUAGCGUUGUUCGGAAUUACUGGGCGUAAAGCGCACGUAGGCGGACUAUUAAGUCAGGGGUGAAAUCCCGGGGCUCAACCCCGGAACUGCCUUUGAUACUGGUAGUCUCGAGUCCGGAAGAGGUGAGUGGAAUUCCGAGUGUAGAGGUGAAAUUCGUAGAUAUUCGGAGGAACACCAAUAGCGAAGGCAGCUCGCUGGGACGGUACUGACGCUAAGGCGCGAAAGCGUGGGGAGCGAACAGG